Molecule: long non-coding RNA, 462 nt
Organism: Stegodyphus dumicola
Lineage: Eukaryota; Metazoa; Arthropoda; Arachnida; Araneae; Eresidae
Source: RefSeq, a predicted model, not a curated record
UGUGGUAAGAUUAAUUUGAAGUUUCUGUACGAGUUGGAAAGAAAGGGGAAAAGAGCAUUGAUUACUGGUGUGUAAAAGAAGGUUUACUUAGUAGCCAUUAUUAAGUGUCCUGUUUGUAGAAUGGAAAUGCGUAUUAUCGAACGUCGGACGAUAACAGCGCUAAGGAGGAUAUUUUUGACUCUUAUUUUUGUGAAUUUAUGUGGCAACGAAAUUAUACAAAUUCUAGUUCAGAUAAUUUUAGGAAGUUUUUGGAUGCUGUUAAGGAAUUUUGUUUGUCUGAAGACGUGUUAAUUCGUAAAUAAGGUCUCGAGAUUUCUCAAGACCAACAUUUUGCCAGAGAUAAUUAUGAACUCCCUCCACAGCCACCACCAGACCAAGACAGUCAGUAAUAAAGAUUCAUUUUUCACAUUAAACAUUGUAUAACAUCUAUUAUUAAAUAAUAAAGAAUCUUAUUUUUUUGUA